UACGUAGGGGGCAAGCGUUGUCCGGAAUCAUUGGGCGUAAAGCGCGCGUAGGCGGCCAGAUAAGUCCGGUGUGAAAGUCACAGGCUCAACCCUGGAAGGCCGGUGGAAACUGUCGGGCUAGAGUCCGGAAGAGGCGAGUGGAAUUCCCGGUGUAGCGGUGAAAUGCGCAGAUAUCGGGAGGAACACCAAUGGCGAAGGCAGCUCGCUGGGACGGUACUGACGCUGAGACGCGAAAGCGUGGGGAGCAAACAGG
RNAcentral lists this ribosomal RNA (253 nucleotides) under uncultured bacterium. Its description in RNAcentral is "partial 16S ribosomal RNA". It matches the Rfam family "Bacterial small subunit ribosomal RNA", at positions 524 to 776 of the family's 1533-position model. The record is from RNAcentral.